UGAUCGAUCGGGUAGAACCACGCUUUG
This 27-nucleotide small RNA is filed under the name Bombyx mori (domestic silkworm). RNAcentral describes it as "ovarian small RNA-32663". The record is from RNAcentral. Lineage: Eukaryota; Metazoa; Arthropoda; Insecta; Lepidoptera; Bombycidae.